ACGGGGACUAGCCCGGGUGGCCCGGCGUCACCUGUGACCCGAAACCGUCGGUAUGCGGGGGGCGAAGUUCGAAGAAGGCGGAACCGGGCUGCCUCCGAACGGUACAGGCCGACGUUGAAACCUCGUCCCAUGAGGUCGGUGGACAGGAACCAGGACCCCGGAGGGGGUCUGUGGCCUGCUGUCGCGGGGACCGGUCCAGGCCCGGAAGGGAGCAGACUCACCGUGAACAUUCGGCGCCCAUGGGGGUGCGGGGUGGAGGAGGGCUGUGCCGGGAAGGGGCAGUUUCGGGCCGUCGACCGAGAACGUGUCCCCAC
RNAcentral lists this signal recognition particle RNA (314 nucleotides) under Methanolinea tarda. RNAcentral's name for it is "signal recognition particle sRNA". It matches the Rfam family "Archaeal signal recognition particle RNA". RNAcentral also lists the same sequence under 1 other name. The record is from RNAcentral. Lineage: Archaea; Methanobacteriati; Methanobacteriota; Methanomicrobia; Methanomicrobiales; Methanoregulaceae.